GAGAAUAUAGCUUAGUGGUACAGCACCUGCCUGGCAAGCAUGAGGUUGAGUUUAAUUCCCACUAUCA
This 67-nucleotide transfer RNA is filed under the name Cavia porcellus (domestic guinea pig). It matches the Rfam family "tRNA". Rfam says of the family: Transfer RNA (tRNA) molecules are approximately 80 nucleotides in length. Their secondary structure includes four short double-helical elements and three loops (D, anti-codon, and T loops). Further hydrogen bonds mediate the characteristic L-shaped molecular structure. tRNAs have two regions of fundamental functional importance: the anti-codon, which is responsible for specific mRNA codon recognition, and the 3' end, to which the tRNAs corresponding amino acid is attached (by aminoacyl-tRNA synthetases). tRNAs cope with the degeneracy of the genetic code in two manners: having more than one tRNA (with a specific anti-codon) for a particular amino acid; and 'wobble' base-pairing, i.e. permitting non-standard base-pairing at the 3rd anti-codon position. Lineage: Eukaryota; Metazoa; Chordata; Mammalia; Rodentia; Caviidae. The record is from Rfam by way of RNAcentral.